AGAGUUUGAUCCUGGCUCAGGAUGAACGCUAGCGACAGGCUUAACACAUGCAAGUCGAGGGGCAGCACAGGUAGCAAUACCGGGUGGCGACCGGCGCACGGGUGAGUAACGCGUAUGCAACUUGCCUAUCAGAGGGGGAUAACCCGGCGAAAGUCGGACUAAUACCGCAUGAAGCAGGGAUCCCGCAUGGGAAUAUUUGCUAAAGAUUCAUCGCUGAUAGAUAGGCAUGCGUUCCAUUAGGCAGUUGGCGGGGUAACGGCCCACCAAACCGACGAUGGAUAGGGGUUCUGAGAGGAAGGUCCCCCACAUUGGUACUGAGACACGGACCAAACUCCUACGGGAGGCAGCAGUGAGGAAUAUUGGUCAAUGGCCGAGAGGCUGAACCAGCCAAGUCGCGUGAGGGAUGAAGGUUCUAUGGAUCGUAAACCUCUUUUAUAAGGGAAUAAAGUGCGGGACGUGUCCCGUUUUGUAUGUACCUUAUGAAUAAGGAUCGGCUAACUCCGUGCCAGCAGCCGCGGUAAUACGGAGGAUCCGAGCGUUAUCCGGAUUUAUUGGGUUUAAAGGGUGCGUAGGCGGCCUUUUAAGUCAGCGGUGAAAGUCUGUGGCUCAACCAUAGAAUUGCCGUUGAAACUGGGGGGCUUGAGUAUGUUUGAGGCAGGCGGAAUGCGUGGUGUAGCGGUGAAAUGCAUAGAUAUCACGCAGAACCCCGAUUGCGAAGGCAGCCUGCCAAGCCAUUACUGACGCUGAUGCACGAAAGCGUGGGGAUCAAACAGGAUUAGAUACCCUGGUAGUCCACGCAGUAAACGAUGAUCACUAGCUGUUUGCGAUACACUGUAAGCGGCACAGCGAAAGCGUUAAGUGAUCCACCUGGGGAGUACGCCGGCAACGGUGAAACUCAAAGGAAUUGACGGGGGCCCGCACAAGCGGAGGAACAUGUGGUUUAAUUCGAUGAUACGCGAGGAACCUUACCCGGGUUUGAACGCAUUCGGACCGAGGUGGAAACACCUUUUCUAGCAAUAGCCGUUUGCGAGGUGCUGCAUGGUUGUCGUCAGCUCGUGCCGUGAGGUGUCGGCUUAAGUGCCAUAACGAGCGCAACCCUUGCCACUAGUUACUAACAGGUAAAGCUGAGGACUCUGGUGGGACUGCCAGCGUAAGCUGCGAGGAAGGCGGGGAUGACGUCAAAUCAGCACGGCCCUUACAUCCGGGGCGACACACGUGUUACAAUGGCGUGGACAAAGGGAGGCCACCUGGCGACAGGGAGCGAAUCCCCAAACCACGUCUCAGUUCGGAUCGGAGUCUGCAACCCGACUCCGUGAAGCUGGAUUCGCUAGUAAUCGCGCAUCAGCCAUGGCGCGGUGAAUACGUUCCCGGGCCUUGUACACACCGCCCGUCAAGCCAUGGGAGCCGGGGGUACCUGAAGUCCGUAACCGCGAGGAUCGGCCUAGGGUAAAACUGGUGACUGGGGCUAAGUCGUAACAAGGUAGCCGUACCGGAAGGUGCGGCUGGAACACCU
RNAcentral lists this ribosomal RNA (1513 nucleotides) under Bacteroides sp. 3_1_19. Its description in RNAcentral is "16S ribosomal RNA". It matches the Rfam family "Bacterial small subunit ribosomal RNA". Lineage: Bacteria; Pseudomonadati; Bacteroidota; Bacteroidia; Bacteroidales; Bacteroidaceae. The record is from RNAcentral.